GGGCGUGUGGUGUACAGGUAUCACGUCUACUUCGUAUGCAGAAGGCCCCGAGUUCAAUUCUCGGCACGUCUA
RNAcentral lists this transfer RNA (72 nucleotides) under Perkinsus marinus ATCC 50983. It matches the Rfam family "tRNA". From Rfam's summary of the family: Transfer RNA (tRNA) molecules are approximately 80 nucleotides in length. Their secondary structure includes four short double-helical elements and three loops (D, anti-codon, and T loops). Further hydrogen bonds mediate the characteristic L-shaped molecular structure. tRNAs have two regions of fundamental functional importance: the anti-codon, which is responsible for specific mRNA codon recognition, and the 3' end, to which the tRNAs corresponding amino acid is attached (by aminoacyl-tRNA synthetases). tRNAs cope with the degeneracy of the genetic code in two manners: having more than one tRNA (with a specific anti-codon) for a particular amino acid; and 'wobble' base-pairing, i.e. permitting non-standard base-pairing at the 3rd anti-codon position. The record is from Rfam by way of RNAcentral. Lineage: Eukaryota; Perkinsozoa; Perkinsida; Perkinsidae.